GGAGUUAGCCGGUGCUUCUUCUGUGAGUGAUGUCCUUCCUGCCGGCUAUUAACCCGCAGGCCUUCUUCCUCACUGAAAGUGCUUUACAACCCGAAGGCCUUCUUCACACACGCGGCAUGGCUGGAUCAGGGUUGCCCCCAUUGUCCAAUAUUCCCCACUGCUGCCUCCCGUAGGAGUCUGGGCCGUGUCUCAGUCCCAGUGUGGCUGAUCAUCCUCUCAGACCAGCUACGGAUCGUCGCCUUGGUGAGCCGUUACCUCACCAACCAGCUAAUCCGACAUAGGCUCAUCCGAUAGCGCGAGGCCCGAAGGUCCCCCGCUUUCCCCCGUAGGGCGUAUGCGGUAUUAGCCUGGGUUUCCCCAGGUUAUCCCCACUACCGGGCAGAUUCCUAUGCAUUACUCACCCGUCCGCCGCUCGCCACCAGGGAGCAAGCUCCCCGUGCUGCCGCUCGACUUGCAUGUGUUAGGCCUGCCGCCAGCGUUCAAUCUGAGCCAGGAUCAAACUCUGA
This 506-nucleotide ribosomal RNA is filed under the name uncultured bacterium. Its description in RNAcentral is "partial 16S ribosomal RNA". The record is from RNAcentral.